AUAAACUUUUAUCUUAAAUCACACACAUUCCGACACGUGUUCCGGGGUGCUCCAAGUAUUAGCUUAGGAGUCGGAUGCAUGGGGGAUGUGGAGGCCUAACC
RNAcentral lists this small RNA (101 nucleotides) under Vibrio diazotrophicus. Its description in RNAcentral is "t44 RNA". It matches the Rfam family "t44 RNA". From Rfam's summary of the family: This family consists of a number of bacterial RNA genes of between 135 and 170 bases in length. The t44 gene is found between the map and rpsB genes in all species in the full alignment apart from Shigella flexneri. The record is from RNAcentral. Lineage: Bacteria; Pseudomonadati; Pseudomonadota; Gammaproteobacteria; Vibrionales; Vibrionaceae.